RNAcentral lists this unclassified non-coding RNA (321 nucleotides) under plant metagenome. RNAcentral's name for it is "partial contains 5.8S ribosomal RNA, internal transcribed spacer 2, and large subunit ribosomal RNA". The stretch from base 1 to 105 matches the Rfam family "5.8S ribosomal RNA", at positions 50 to 154 of the family's 154-position model. The record is from RNAcentral.
GAAAUGCGAUAACUAAUGUGAAUUGCAGAAUUCAGUGAAUCAUCGAGUCUUUGAACGCACAUUGCGCCCUCUGGUAUUCCGGAGGGCAUGCCUGUCCGAGCGUCAUUGCUGCCCUCAAGCACGGCUUGUGUGUUGGGCCCCGUCCCCCCCGCUCCGGGGGGGACGGGCCCGAAAGGCAGCGGCGGCACCGCGUCCGGUCCUCGAGCGUAUGGGGCUUCGUCACCCGCUCUUGUAGGCCCGGCCGGCGCCAGCCGACCCCCAACCUUUUAUUUUUUCUCAGGUUGACCUCGGAUCAGGUAGGGAUACCCGCUGAACUUAAGC